CCUAGCCUUUUAAUUGGAGGCCUGCAUGAAUGGCUUGACGAGCGCCCUGCUGUCUCUCUUCCCAUGAACUUUUAAAUUAACUUUCGCGUGCAAAGGCGCGAAUGGCUGAGUUAGACGAAAAGACCCUAUGCAUCUUUACUGAGAGAGAAGAAAGUUCUUUAGCUUGGUUUAGCUGGGGCAGCUGAGGAAAAGGCAAAAUUUCCUUAAUAUAAGUCAUACUGGUGGGUUUAGAUCCAGGCUCUUUAGCGGGCUUGACAAGUAGAAAAGUUACGCUAGGGAUAACAGCGUUAUCCUUCUGUGGAGGUCUUAUCUGCAGGAGGGAUUGCGACCUCGAUGUUGAAUUAGGGAUAUACCAGAAAGGCGCAGAAGCUUUUAUUGUGGGU
This 383-nucleotide ribosomal RNA is filed under the name Pinna nobilis. RNAcentral's name for it is "partial 16S ribosomal RNA". It matches the Rfam family "Bacterial large subunit ribosomal RNA", at positions 1967 to 2576 of the family's 2925-position model. Lineage: Eukaryota; Metazoa; Mollusca; Bivalvia; Pterioida; Pinnidae. The record is from RNAcentral.